Molecule: long non-coding RNA, 2464 nt
Filed under: Calidris pygmaea (Spoon-billed sandpiper)
Lineage: Eukaryota; Metazoa; Chordata; Aves; Charadriiformes; Scolopacidae
Description: lncRNA (ENSCPGG00000000940.1)
Source: RNAcentral
CCCACAAAAUGGGGCUUAUUUUUAAAAACUGCAGGUUUUUUUGGGGGANCCGUGUCUUUUUUUUUUUUCCCCCCUUCCUGGGAAAAACGCCUGGCAAAGAGUUGCAGCACAACAAGAGGGUGCUGGGUUUGCCUCCUACGUGGUCGUUUGGGGCCAAGCUCACGGGGUCCCGCACGUUCCCGGGGAGCUUGAACCACCGGGCUCCAGCCACACGUUGUCUUUUCCCCCCCAAAACGUGCGUUUUUUGACUUCACGUGCCAGAGAGAUGCCCCCAAAAAAGAGGAUGACACCGGUUUUCCCUCCUCCAUCCCAGGUCACGGUCAAGCUCACAGGGUCCCACACACUCCAGGUGAUCUUGAGCCGGGCAGACCCCAGCCCUGGGGUUUUUUUUCCUCCAACGUGUGUUUUUUUUUCCCCUUCACAUGGCAGAGAAGACUCCCAAAAGAAGAGGAUGAUGCUGGUUCUUCCUCCUCCAUCCCAGGUCACGGCCAAGUUCACCGGGUCCCGCACGCUCCCGGUCAGCUUGAACCAUCUGGCUCCAGCUGCAUGUUUUCUUUUCCCCCCAAAAUGUGCAUUUUUCCCUUCACGUGCCAGAGAGAUGCCCCCAAAAAAGAGGAUGACACCAGUUUUCCCUCCUCCAUCCCAGGUCACGGCCAAGUUCACCGGGUCCCGCACGCUCCCGGUCAGCUUGAACCACCCAGUUCCAGCCGCGUGUUUUCUUUUCCCUCCUACACGUGUGUUUUCCCCUCAUAUUCCAGAGAAAUGCCCCAACAAAAGAGGAUGACGCUGGUUUCUCCUCCUCCAUCCCAGGUCAUGGCCAAGCUCGCCAGGUCCCGCACCCUCCCAGCGCGCUUGAGCCGGGCAGACUCCAGCUGUGAGCUUUUCCUCCCACGUUUUGGGUUUUUUUUUUGUGGUUUUUUCCCUCCCUCACAUGCCAGAGAGGAGCCCAAACGCAGGAGGACGGCGCUGGUUCUUCCUCCUCCGUCCCAGGUCACGGCCAAGCUCACAGGGUCCCACACACUCCAGGUGAUCUUGAGCCGGGCAGACCCCAGCCCUGGGGGUUUUUUUCCUCCAACGUGUGUUUUUUUUUCCCCUUCACAUGGCAGAGAGGACUCCCAAAAGAAGAGGAUGAUGCUGGUUCUUCCUCCUCCAUCCCAGGUCACGGCCAAGUUCACCAGGUCCCGCACACUCCCGGUCAGCUUGAACCAUCUGGCUCCAGCCGCGUGUUUUCUUUUCCCCCCAAAAUGUGCAUUUUUCCCUUCACAUGCCAGAGAGAUGCCCCCAAAAAAGAGGAUGACACCGGUUUUCCCUCCUCCGUCCCAGGUCACGGCCAAGCUCACAGGGUCCCACACACUCCAGGUGAUCUUGAGCCGGGCAGACUCCAGCCCUGGGGUUUUUUUUCCUCCAACGUGUGUUUUUUUUCCCCUUCACAUGGCAGAGAGGACUCCCAAAAGAAGAGGAUGAUGCUGGUUCUUCCUCCUCCAUUCCAGGUCACGGCCAAGUUCACCAGGUCCCACACACUCCCAGCGCGCUUGAGCUGGGCAGACUCCAGCUGUGAGCUUUUCCUCCCACAUGUUUUGGGGUUUUUUUGUGGUUUUUUCCCUCCCUCACAUGCCAGAGAGGAGCCCAAACGCAGGAGGACGGCGCUGGUUCUUCCUCCUCCGUCCCAGGUCACGGCCAAGCUCACAGGGUCCCACACACUCCAGGUGAUCUUGAGCCGGGCAGACCCCAGCCCUGGGGGUUUUUUUUCCUCCAACGUGGGUUUUUUUUUCCCCUUCACAUGGCAGAGAGGACUCUCAAAAGAAGAGGAUGAUGCUGGUUCUUCCUCCUCCAUCCCAGGUCACGGCCAAGUUCACCGGGUCGCGCACACUCCCGGUCAGCUUGAACCAUCUGGCUCCAGCUGCAUGUUUUCUUUUCCCCCCAAAAUGUGCAUUUUUCCCUUCACGUGCCAAAGAGAUGCCCCCAAAAAAGAGGAUGACACCAGUUUUCCCUCCUCCAUCCCAGGUCAUGGCCAAGCUCGCCAGGUCCCGCACCCUCCCAGCGCGCUUGAGCCGAGCAGACUCCAGCUGUGAGCUUUUCCUCCCACAUGUUUUGGGGUUUUUUUGUGGUUUUUUCCCUCCCUCACAUGCCAGAGAGGAGCCCAAACGCAGGAGGACGGCGCUGGUUCUUCCUCCUCCGUCCCAGGUCACGGCCAAGCUCACAGGGUCCCACACACUCCCAGAAUGAUUGAGCCGGGCAGACCCCAGCCCUGGGGGUUUUUUUCCUCCAACGUGUGUUUUUUUUUCCCCUUCACAUGGCAGAGAGGACUCNUGUUUUCUUUUCCCCCCAAAAUGUGCAUUUUUCCCUUCACGUGCCAGAGAGAUGCCCCCAAAAAAGAGGAUGACACCGGUUUUCCCUCCUCCAUCCCAGGUCACGGCCAAGCUCACAGGGUCCCACACACUCCAGGUGAUCUUGAGCCGGGCAG